AUUGAACGCUGGCGGCAUGCUUUACACAUGCAAGUCGAACGGUAACAGGCUUCCGGGUUCGGAUGCUUGGGGGACGGGCGGGUAAUUCACCGGAACGUGCCCUGAGGUUGGGGAUAAGGCAGCGAAAGCUGUGUGAAUACCACACGGGAUCGGAGGACGAAAGCGGGGGACGAGGCAGCAAUGUUUGGGCUCGCGCGUUUGGAGCGGCGGAUGUCCGAUUAGGUGGUUGGUGGGGUAAAGACCUACCAAGUCGACGAUCUGUAGCUUGUCUGAGAGGACGGCCGGCGACACUGGGACUGGGCCACGGACAAGACUCCUGCGGGAGGCAGCAGUGGGCAAUGGUGGGCAAUAGGGGGAAGUAUGAUCCAGCAGUGCCGCGUGCGGUAAGACGGCGUUCGGGUUGUAAAGCGGUUUUGUGCGGAGCGAAACGCCUCUGGCUGAUACCUAGCGCUGGUGACGGUAACGGAAGAAGAAGCACCGGCUAACUACGUG
RNAcentral lists this ribosomal RNA (492 nucleotides) under uncultured bacterium. RNAcentral describes it as "partial 16S ribosomal RNA". It matches the Rfam family "Bacterial small subunit ribosomal RNA", at positions 28 to 507 of the family's 1533-position model. The record is from RNAcentral.